RNAcentral lists this transfer RNA (82 nucleotides) under Luteolibacter sp. RNAcentral describes it as "tRNA-Leu". It matches the Rfam family "tRNA". From Rfam's summary of the family: Transfer RNA (tRNA) molecules are approximately 80 nucleotides in length. Their secondary structure includes four short double-helical elements and three loops (D, anti-codon, and T loops). The record is from RNAcentral. Lineage: Bacteria; Pseudomonadati; Verrucomicrobiota; Verrucomicrobiia; Verrucomicrobiales; Verrucomicrobiaceae. RNAcentral also lists the same sequence under 1 other name.
GCCGGGAUGGCGGAAUUGGUAGACGCGCUUGACUUAGGAUCAAGUGAGCUAGCUCGUGCAGGUUCGAGUCCUGUUCCCGGUA